UUCCUUUGUUAAUGUACGGCCCGUUGAGAUAGACGGUUCGGAUAUUCGGUGUGACGUCUUCGUGGGAGGAUAUAAGGGUAAUUGUGCGAGAGGUGCGCAUGUGUGUGUGUGGGGUGGGAGCAUGGGAUUACUCCCCAUGCCAAUAAUUUCCCCAGGAGACUACUUUCUCCCAUUUCUCUUUUUCUCUCUCUCGGCCAAACUCUCUCCUCCUCUCCUCCGAAACUCUCUCCUCCCUUCUCUCUUCGAUCUCAACACCUUAGAGCAUGAUUCUGGAUGAAGUCCAGGAAUUAAAAUUGCUAUACAGAGCACGGGCUUUCCGAAUAUCCAAGAAAAAUCUUGAUCGGACAGCGUGGGAGCUCGGUUGACUUGAUCAAAGGGUUGGGUUUUGCUCAAAACCCAUGAGGUACGAUUCAAGGAAGUUGACAUGGAGUACAUGUUGUGCAUUUGUGACCAAACCUUUAAAAAGGUAUUCAAGAAGGAUUUCAUAGCACAAGAUCUGAAAGAACAUUUUUUUUGGAAAGAUAGUAUUUGUAAAUUGUAAUAAUAUUUCCCUAGAAUAUUGGUAUUUUGAUGAUUUGGGGCCUUCGAGUUUUGGAAUGUAAUAUUUGAAUUUUAUUUGAGAACAGUGAACGAAAGAUCUUUUGGGGUAUUAUUUGUAUUACAGCGAGGACUUUAUUUAUUAAAAGUGUUUAUUAUUUAUGUUGAAAAUCGAGGGCGUGACAACUUGGUAUCAGAGCAUUAGGUUAGAAUACCUGGCGACCUUGGGGAGACUUUUAGUCUCAUGGGUUCAAAAAUUCAUUGCAUACUUUUACAAAAGUGUGUGUGAGCUUGCAUCAAUGACGUGUGUUCACUGAACUGGCAUUGCAUCUAUGUUUGCAUGAAAUAGUAAAAAGUUAGAUGACUCACGUCAAAAAAUAAAUAAAUAAAUUUUGAAGUUUGGCAUCAUUGUAGUGACUAUGGGUACGUCUGUUGUCAUUAUUAUUAUUGCUGAUGAUAGUCUUGUUCUUGAAUCCCAUGUGGUAAGAUGCCUUCUAUAAGUGAUGCUAGAUAGGGUGGAUCUAGAAAAUCAUGAUGGUUGAAGUGCUUAUGCGCAGUGGCGAUGCCGAUGUGUGAAAGAUAGUAUUCAUUAGCAUAUAAAAGAAGAGUUAGAAUAUUAAUGGGACUUAAGAGUAAAGUGUUAGAUGUGUUUCUGUUUGAAUUGCGUGGAUUACGUAUUCAAGUUUUAAGUGUAUUGAGUAAAUCUUAUGUGAUAUGAGUUGUAUUGAGUAUAUAUGCAAGGAGAGUGAUGCAUUUGUUGAGAAUAGAGUCAGUGAGUGUUUUAAUGUGUUUAAAAAGGCAAUGUUUUGUUGUGAUAGUAAUUGUGGUUAGUCAUUUUUUUUUAUGGUUAAUGAGGUAGUGGCUGUGGGCAUAUGUAGGGCAAGUUGAACCCAUAUUGCGAACUAUAUGUAUCUAAGGUUGACUUAGAAAGAUGAAAGUUAUAGGUAAGGUGUCGGGAUACAGUAUGUGUCUUCUGGACACCCAAGUGACUACUGAUGAGAUCCAGUUGGAAGAGGCGAUUGAUCACCGCUCCUUCUAGAUGGAAGUGUUGGAAGGUCAAUUGGACACUAAGAUUGUGUAUAGGGGUUAGAUCUCUAGAUUUGAGAUAGAUGGCUCUACGUAGGAGUUUCAAAAAAAAAGGGGAAGUGUUAUGGUGUUGUAAUCUUCAUUGUUGAGGUGAAUGUCGUGGUGGUGUCAUUAUGACAGGAUGAUAGAAAAUAGUGAUAGUAUUGUGUGAAAAAAAAAAAAGGGAGACAAGACUUGAGAGGUGUACUAUAUCGAUGUGACUUGAGGCAAGUGAUUGAUGUCAGUGUGUGGUGAGAGACUUGUUUGAAGUAAGGGCAAUAUGAAUGAGGACUGUUGUGAGUUGAAAGAUUAGAGUGUAGAGAUGAUGUGUGAUGUGUAAUUGGCGACGUAGACUAGACUGAUGACAGUAUAGAAUGCAUUGAGGUAUGCCGCUGAGGUGAUAGAUUUGAGAGAGACUAAGGUUUAAAUAGUGAUAGUGAUAGCAGUGCUGGUGAUAGGAGUCUUAGAAUAUAAUGUGAAGUAUAGAAGGAUUGUUUGCAAUCCCGGAGUCUUGUGGGUAUUCAGGGAUAAGUCUGUUAGUCGGUCUGUGUCAGUGUUUGAGUUCUAGCAUGAAGAUAUUCGAGAGUAUUAGAUGUUCGUUGGUGCAGCUAUUGCACACUUUGUGUAGGUGCUCUAGUGAUGAGAUGUUAAUAGGUUGCAAUAUUGUUAAAA
Rhododendron vialii is the source of this 2274-nucleotide long non-coding RNA. RefSeq lists it as uncharacterized. The transcript has 2 exons. Lineage: Eukaryota; Viridiplantae; Streptophyta; Magnoliopsida; Ericales; Ericaceae. The record is from RefSeq and is a predicted model, not a curated record.